Molecule: ribosomal RNA, 507 nt
Filed under: uncultured bacterium
Lineage: Bacteria
Description: partial 16S ribosomal RNA
Rfam family: Bacterial small subunit ribosomal RNA
Source: RNAcentral
GACGAACGCUGGCGGCGUGCCUAAUACAUGCAAGUCGAACGCAUUUUCUUUCACCGUAGCUUGCUACACCGAAAGAAAAUGAGUGGCGAACGGGUGAGUAACACGUGGGUAACCUGCCCAUCAGCGGGGGAUAACACUUGGAAACAGGUGCUAAUACCGCAUAAUUCCAUUUACCGCAUGGUAAAUGGAUGAAAGGCGCUUUUGCGUCACUGAUGGAUGGACCCGCGGUGCAUUAGCUAGUUGGUGGGGUAACGGCCUACCAAGGCCGCGAUGCAUAGCCGACCUGAGAGGGUGAUCGGCCACACUGGGACUGAGACACGGCCCAGACUCCUACGGGAGGCAGCAGUAGGGAAUCUUCGGCAAUGGACGCAAGUCUGACCGAGCAACGCCGCGUGAGUGAAGAAGGUUUUCGGAUCGUAAAACUCUGUUGUUAGAGAAGAACAAGGAUGAGAGUGGAAAGUUCAUCCCUUGACGGUAUCUAACCAGAAAGCCACGGCUAACUACGUG